RNAcentral lists this long non-coding RNA (1930 nucleotides) under Malus domestica (apple). Its description in RNAcentral is "long non-coding RNA (MDOM_LNC014244)". Lineage: Eukaryota; Viridiplantae; Streptophyta; Magnoliopsida; Rosales; Rosaceae. The record is from RNAcentral.
GUAACCAUGAUAUGCUGCUAAGCGUCACUCAUGGUUUGUGGAAGCCCUAAUGGUUAGCAAACACUAAUCAACAAAAGGGAAAAUUGAAAUGUGGUUUCAAUUCACAAUCGAUCGUUAAGAGUAACAUCGCCCACUGCCUCGCUAAUUGGAACCUAAUGGAUCGUACACCGAUUAAGGAUGUAUGUGAAGAAAUCAAAUGAAAUGGAUAAGCAAUUAAAUGGUUUAAUUGAAGAAUGGUAAAGAUUAAUUAAUUAGUUAAUUAAUUAUACGAAAGGUUCGUAUUGGGCUUAUAUGUUGGUUUUGGGUUUCGGGGCCCAAAAGCGUUUUGGUCCACAAGGCCCAUUAUGUUUAAGUUGUAUGACAACUAAAACAAAAUGGGCAAAUUAGCCCAAUAACAAAGGAUGGCCGGCCAUUAGGGUGGAUGGGCAAAGUUUGCUUAAUUACAAGUUUGCCACUCACCAAAGAAAAGGUUAUAAAAGCAACUUUAUAGCUAUUUUCUAAUUAGGGUUCUUCUUGUUGAAAUUGGGUGAAACAUUUUCUCCAUUUUCUUCUAAGGAGGCCGGCCACUAAGGGGAGGGACAUCUAGCAAUCUUUUCUUUCCUUAGUCAUCCAUAUCAUCUUCACAAGAUACAACCUUGGUGAAGAGACUUAGAGACAUCAAGCUUUUGGUGUUUUGGAGAACAAAUCCUUUUUCCCCAAAUCAUCAAAGGAGCACUAAAGGGAGGAAAACACAAGGAGGAUUCAAGAAGCUUGGAGGUGACUUGAAGGCCCUCCACUUGGGUGAAUCCCUUGUGUAAUCAAGGAUGAGCUUCAAGGGUAAAGAAUCACUAAAUCUUUACUUCUCUUUAAUGUAGUUAAAGAGUUUAUUUUGGUUCACCAUAUACUAGGCUUUGAAAGUCAUGGGUUUUAUGAAUUGUUUUUGGAUGCAUGCCUACUUUAAAGUGUUAAUAGCUUGCAUGUGUAUUCAAAUGUUCAUACUUGUUCUUAGCUAGGACAAAAUUUUUCCUUCAAGUGGUAUCAGAGCCUAGGCCUAGUGUGUGGUGAAUCCUUUUGGGUUUUGUGAUGUUCAUAUUUUGUGAUUUAAAUGUUGUAAAUGUUACAAGCUUUGUUCUUGCUUUUGAAUAUAUAAAUUUUGCUAGAAAAUUUAGCAUCUCAAAUGUUGUAGAUGUAUUUCAUAUAAGCAUGAAUAUUGGAACUAAAAUUUGGUGCCAUGAGUUUUGGGAAAUUCGGCCAAAUCCUUAGGGUGACUUUUUGGGUUCAUGUUUGUCUUGUUAAAAUGGUUUUAAGGUGACUUUUGGAACCCCUAAGUACCCUAGGAUAUUACCCCUCUUUUGAGAGGUGAAAAAUUGAGUUUUGGUGAAUGAAAACAUCCAUGGGGCUAUUAUGAGUUUUCAUGGUGUUCUUCAAAUGUUCUUGAAGUUCUUGCCAAGAACAAAAAGGUUUGAAGUUUUGAUUCAAAAGUUUUAUGUUUUUCAUAAAGUUUUGGUUUAAUUUUGAUGGGUGAUAGAUAUUGGUGAAGCAUUAAAAUUGGCUUUAAUGUUUGUCUAAACUAAUUAAUGUUUUACAAAACAUUUUCUUACAAACAAUCAACUUCACCUUUACCUCACCCACCAAAAUCAACUUGCAUAUUGCACAUGCAUGCACUAAAACCCUUUCACACUUGUUCACACCCUCCAUGGCCGGCCACCCCAACAAGUGGGGUACUUUUGGGGCCUUUUGUGCAAUUACAUAAAGUUGUGAAAAUUUUGUUUGCAUUUUGGCCCAAAAGUUUACGUUUUUACGUUAAGGCCCUAAAACGCUAAAGGACAAAUUGUUUUGAUCCUUUAAUGAUGUUUUUACAUUAAUGAAAUUUUGAGAUCUAGUUGUAAUUACAUGAAGUUGUGGACUAGUGUUUUUACAAAGUGACCCCAAAAGUUUUUGUAUUUGCAUU